CCUACGGGUGGCAGCAGUGAGGAAUAUUGGUCAAUGGGCGUAAGCCUGAACCAGCCAAGUCGCGUGAGGGAUGAAGGUUCUAUGGAUCGUAAACCUCUUUUAUAAGGGAGAAAAGUGUGGGACGUGUCCUGUUUUGUAUGUACCUUAUGAAUAAGGAUCGGCUAACUCCGUGCCAGCAGCCGCGGUAAUACGGAGGAUCCGAGCGUUAUCCGGGUUUAUUGGGUUUAAAGGGUGCGCAGGCGGCAUUUUAAGUCAGCGGUGAAAGUUUAGGGCUCAACCACGGAAUUGCCGUUGAAACUGGGGGGCUUGAGUAUGUGUGAGGCAUGCGGAAUGCGUGGUGUAGCGGUGAAAUGCUUAGAUAUCACGCAGAACCCCGAUUGCGAAGGCAGCCUGCCGGGCCAUGACUGACGCUGAUGCACGAAAGCGUGGGGAUCAAACAGGAUUAGAUACCCGGGUAGUC
Molecule: ribosomal RNA, 460 nt
Filed under: uncultured bacterium
Lineage: Bacteria
Description: partial 16S ribosomal RNA
Rfam family: Bacterial small subunit ribosomal RNA
Source: RNAcentral